AACGAACGCUGGCUGCGUGCUUAACACAUGCAAGUCGAACGCUGAAGCCCUGGUGCUUGCACCGGGGUGGAUGAGUGGCGAACGGGUGAGUAGCACGUGAGUAACCUGCCCCCGACUUCGGGAUAAGCCCGGGAAACUGGGUCUAAUACCGGAUAUGACGACCGAAGGCAUCUUUGGUUGUGGAAAGUUUUUUCGGUUGGGGAUGGGCUCGCGGCCUAUCAGUUUGUUGGUGAGGUAAUGGCUCACCAAGACGACGACGGGUAGCCGGCCUGAGAGGGCGACCGGCCACACUGGGACUGAGGCACGGCCCAGACUCCUACGGGAGGCAGCAGUGGGGAAUAUUGCACAAUGGGGGAAACCCUGAUGCAGCGACGCAGCGUGCGGGAUGACGGCCUCGGUUGUAACGU
RNAcentral lists this ribosomal RNA (407 nucleotides) under uncultured Actinomycetales bacterium. RNAcentral's name for it is "bacterial SSU rRNA". It matches the Rfam family "Bacterial small subunit ribosomal RNA", at positions 28 to 431 of the family's 1533-position model. Lineage: Bacteria; Bacillati; Actinomycetota; Actinomycetes; Actinomycetales. The record is from RNAcentral.